UACGAGUGCCUCAAGCGUUAUCCGGAAUCAUUGGGCGUAAAGGGUGCGUAGGUGGUCUUGUUAGUCUUUUGUUAAAUUCUUCGGCUUAACCGGGGGCAUGCAAAAGAAACGGCAAGACUCGAGGAUGCGAGGGGUCUCUGGAACUCUAGGUGUAGCGGUGAAAUGCGUUGAUAUCUAGGGGAACACCAAAAGCGAAGGCAAGAGACUGGAGCACUCCUGACACUGAAGCACGAAAGCGUGGGUAGCGAAUGGG
RNAcentral lists this ribosomal RNA (253 nucleotides) under uncultured bacterium. RNAcentral's name for it is "partial 16S ribosomal RNA". It matches the Rfam family "Bacterial small subunit ribosomal RNA", at positions 524 to 776 of the family's 1533-position model. The record is from RNAcentral.